This 460-nucleotide ribosomal RNA is filed under the name uncultured bacterium. RNAcentral describes it as "partial 16S ribosomal RNA". It matches the Rfam family "Bacterial small subunit ribosomal RNA", at positions 338 to 795 of the family's 1533-position model. The record is from RNAcentral.
CCUACGGGUGGCAGCAGUGAGGAAUAUUGGUCAAUGGACGAGAGUCUGAACCAGCCAAGUAGCGUGAAGGAUGACUGCCCUAUGGGUUGUAAACUUCUUUUAUAUGGGAAUAAAAUGUUCCACGUGUGGGAUUUUGUAUGUACCCUAUGAAUAAGGAUCGGCUAACUCCGUGCCAGCAGCCGCGGUAAUACGGAGGAUCCGAGCGUUAUCCGGAUUUAUUGGGUUUAAAGGGAGCGUAGGUGGAUUGUUAAGUCAGUUGUGAAAGUUUGCGGCUCAACCGUAAAAUGGCAGUUGAAACUGGCAGUCUUGAGUACAGUAGAGGUGGGCGGAAUUCGUGGUGUAGCGGUGAAAUGCGUAGAUAUCACGAAGAACUCCGAUUGCGAAGGCAGUUCACUGGACUGUAACUGACACUGAGGCUCGAAAGUGUGGGUAUCAAACAGGAUUAGAUACCCGGGUAGUC